UGAAUACGAGACGCUACGGCGUUGAAGCAGUCUAUGUCAUACUUCCAAGAAAAGCUCGCAAUGUCUUAAACAAAUAAUGCCUGUACCAUAACCGACACAGGUGGGUAGGUAGAGUAUACUAAGGGGCGCGAGAUAACUCUCUCUAAGGAACUCGGCAAAAUGACUCCGUAACUUCGGGAGAAGGAGUGCCUUAUUUAUAAGGUUGCAAUAACAAGAUCCAAGCAACUGUUUAUCAAAAACACAGGUCUCCGCUAAGUCGUAAGACGAUGUAUGGGGGCUGACGCCUGCCCAGUGCCAGAAGGUUAAAGAAGUUGGUUAGCAUUAGCGAAGCUGAUGACUGAAGCCCUGGUGAACGGCGGCCGUAACUAUAACGGUCCUAAGGUAGCGAAAUUCCUUGUCGGGUAAGUUCCGACCCGCACGAAAGGCGUAAUGAUUUGGAUACUGUCUCGGAGAGGGACUCGGUGAAAUAGACUUGUCUGUGAAGAUGCGGACUACCUGCACCUGGACAGAAAGACCCUAUGAAGCUUUACUGUAACUUGAAAUUGAAAUUGGACUUUAUUCGCGCAGUAUAGGUGGGAGGCUUUGAGAAUAUUCUUGCGGGAAUAUUUGAGCCAUCAGUGAGAUACCACCCUUGUAAUGUUAGAUUUCUAACUUUGUAUCAUGAUCUGGUCAAAGAACAGUUUCAGGCGGGCAGUUUGACUGGGGCGGUCGCCUCCCAAAUGGUAACGGAGGCGUACAAAGGUUUCCUCUGAACGGGUAGAAAUCGUAUCUAGAGUGUAAAGGCAUAAGGAAGCUUGACUGUGAGACCUACAAGUCGAGCAGGGACGAAAGUCGGUCUUAGUGAUCUGACGGUGCUGAGUGGAAAGGCCGUCACUCAACGGAUAAAAGUUACUCUAAGGAUAACAGGCUGAUCUCCCCCAAGAGUUCACAUCGACGGGGAGGUUUGGCACCUCGAUGUCGGCUCAUCGCAUCCUGGGGCGGUAGUACGUCCCAAGGGUUGGGCUGUUCGCCCAUGAAAGCGGUACGCGAGCUGGGUUCAGAACGUCGUGAGACAGUUCGGUCCAUAUCCGGUGUAGGCGUUAGAAUAUUGAGAGGAGCCUUCUUUAGUACGAGAGGACCGAGAAGGACAUACCUCUGGUGUACCAGUUAUCGUGCCAACGGUAAACGCUGGGUAGCUAUGUAUGGAGAGGAUAACCGCUGAAAGCAUCUAAGUGGGAAGCCCACCUCAAGAUAAG
This 1235-nucleotide ribosomal RNA is filed under the name metagenome. RNAcentral describes it as "bacterial LSU rRNA". It matches the Rfam family "Bacterial large subunit ribosomal RNA", at positions 1564 to 2808 of the family's 2925-position model. The record is from RNAcentral.